This 438-nucleotide ribosomal RNA is filed under the name uncultured bacterium. RNAcentral's name for it is "bacterial SSU rRNA". It matches the Rfam family "Bacterial small subunit ribosomal RNA", at positions 28 to 479 of the family's 1533-position model. The record is from RNAcentral.
GACGAACGCUGGCGGCGCGCCUAACACAUGCAAGUCGAACGAGCGAGAGAGAGCUUGCUUUCUCGAGCGAGUGGCGAACGGGUGAGUAACGCGUGAGGAACCUGCCUCAAAGAGGGGGACAACAGUUGGAAACGACUGCUAAUACCGCAUAAGCCCACAGCUCGGCAUCGAGCAGAGGGAAAAGGAGCAAUCCGCUUUGAGAUGGCCUCGCGUCCGAUUAGCUAGUUGGUGAGGUAAUGGCCCACCAAGGCGACGAUCGGUAGCCGGACUGAGAGGUUGAACGGCCACAUUGGGACUGAGACACGGCCCAGACUCCUACGGGAGGCAGCAGUGGGGAAUAUUGCACAAUGGGGGAAACCCUGAUGCAGCGACGCCGCGUGGAGGAAGAAGGUCUUCGGAUUGUAAACUCCUGUUGUUGAGGAAGAUAAUGACGGUACU